GACGAACGCUGGCGGCGUGCUUAACACAUGCAAGUCGAACGGUGAAGCGCCUUCCUUUUUGGUGGGUGUGGAUGAGUGGCGAACGGGUGAGUAACACGUGAGUAACCUGCCCCCUUCUUCUGGAUAACCGCAUGAAAGUGUGGCUAAUACGGGAUAUUCUGGGUCUGUCGCAUGAUGGGUCUGGGAAAGAUAUUGUUUCGGUGGGGGAUGGGCUCGCGGCCUAUCAGCUUGUUGGUGGGGUGAUGGCCUACCAAGGCGGUGACGGGUAGCCGGCCUGAGAGGGUGGACGGUCACACUGGGACGGAGGCACGGCCCAGACUCCGACGGGAGGCAGCAGUGGGGAAUAGUGCACAAUGGGCGCAAGCCUGAUGCAGCGACGCCGCGUGAGGGAUGGAGGCCUUCGGGUUGUGAACCUCUUUCGCCAGUGAAGCAGGCCUGCCUCGUUUGUGGGUGGGUUGACGGUAGCUGGAUAAGAAGCGCCGGCUAACUACGUG
This 494-nucleotide ribosomal RNA is filed under the name uncultured bacterium. Its description in RNAcentral is "partial 16S ribosomal RNA". It matches the Rfam family "Bacterial small subunit ribosomal RNA", at positions 28 to 507 of the family's 1533-position model. The record is from RNAcentral.